Molecule: transfer RNA, 71 nt
Filed under: Cavia porcellus (domestic guinea pig)
Lineage: Eukaryota; Metazoa; Chordata; Mammalia; Rodentia; Caviidae
Rfam family: tRNA
About the family: Transfer RNA (tRNA) molecules are approximately 80 nucleotides in length. Their secondary structure includes four short double-helical elements and three loops (D, anti-codon, and T loops).
Source: Rfam by way of RNAcentral
GGGGAUGUAGCUUAGCAGCACAGUGCCUGCCUGGUAAGCACGAGACCCUGAGUUCAGUUCCCAGUGCCCCA